AACGCAAAUGGCGCCUGUGUUUACACAGGUACAUCUAUUUGAGUGUUGGUUUUAAACUUCAACAAACUUCUUUGAAGUGUUGAGAUUAUGAGUGCCCAUUACACACCUUGUGAUGGCUGCUUUAAAUUAGAAUAUCAACAAGAUUCUUCAGUGACAUUUAGUUGUGCUUGGAAUUUACCUUGAUCUUUCUCUACCAAUCUAUUAUCAACCUCAAAUUAGAUGAGAGUACCCGCUGAAUUUAA
Molecule: unclassified non-coding RNA, 242 nt
Filed under: uncultured soil eukaryote
Lineage: Eukaryota
Description: sequence contains 5.8S rRNA gene, ITS2, 28S rRNA gene
Source: RNAcentral